Molecule: long non-coding RNA, 625 nt
Filed under: Homo sapiens (human)
Lineage: Eukaryota; Metazoa; Chordata; Mammalia; Primates; Hominidae
Description: non-protein coding lnc-DDX58-1:4
Source: RNAcentral
CUAAGGUCUAAUAUCCUCAAAACAAAUGGAAAGACAGAACAUCUUAGCAGGGAAAUAAAAGAUUCAACUGGCUCAUGGUUUGUACCGGGGGAACCAAGCCCAUGGUUGGGAUCCAGGGGUCCCUCCAGUCUCCUGUUCCAUGGUCGCACACACCUUGAGGGCACCCACACGGUUUGAUCGUCUCCUUAUAUUGCUGCUGGCAGACUCGUGACGGGGUUUCUCAUUCAUCUGGGUGUACAAGAAGCAUGGUGCCAGCAUCUGCUCAGCUUCUGAUGAGGGCUCUGGGAAGCUUUUACUCAUGGAGGAAGGCAAGGGGAACCAGCAUGUCACAUGAUGAGAAAGGAAGCAUGAGAGAGAGGUGCCAGACUCUUCAACAACCAGAAGAGAAAGUCAGAGAGAAUCAAAGCAUGUGAAGAGAGACCUCACGCAAGGAGGUCUAGGAGCCUAGAGUGAUCUUCAGCCAACAGUCAAAAAGAUAACUGGGACAACCACAAGGAACUGACUUCUAUAAGAGAAAUGAGCCUGGAAAAGGACUCCAAGCUUCAGAUGAAAAUGUAGUUGGCUGACACUUUGAUUUUAGUCUUGUGAAACCCUAAGCAGAGAAUCCAAGUAAGUCCCCCUGAAC